CCUACGGGUGGCUGCAGUGAGGAAUAUUGGUCAAUGGGCGUAAGCCUGAACCAGCCAAGUCGCGUGCGGGAUGAAGGUUCUAUGGAUCGUAAACCUCUUUUAUAAGGGAAUAAAGUGCGGGACGUGUGCUGUUUUGUAUGUACCUUAUGAAUAAGGAUCGGCUAAUUCCGUGCCAGCAGCCGCGGUAAUACGGAGGAUCCGAGCGUUAUCCGGAUUUAUUGGGUUUAAAGGGUGCGUAGGCGGGCGGUUAAGCCAGCGGUAAAAGCCCGGGGCUCAACCCCGGCGAGCCGGUGAAACUGGCUUGCUUGAGAUGUCGAGAGGUAUGCGGAAUGCGUGGUGUAGCGGUGAAAUGCUUAGAUAUUGCGCAGAACUCCGAUUGCGAAGGCAGCAUACCGGCGGCGUUCUGACGCUGAGGCACGAAGGCGUGGGUAUCGAACAGGAUUAGAUACCCGUGUAGUC
This 459-nucleotide ribosomal RNA is filed under the name uncultured bacterium. Its description in RNAcentral is "partial 16S ribosomal RNA". It matches the Rfam family "Bacterial small subunit ribosomal RNA", at positions 338 to 795 of the family's 1533-position model. The record is from RNAcentral.